CCUCACUCCGAGGAAGCGGGAGGCGGAGGGAGUGGGGAGAGCCCCGCGUGGGUCGCGGUCCGGUGGACACCAUCCCGGCGGGGAGGAGCCUUCCCACGAGGACAGAUGGCGACACACAAGCUGCGUGGCUUCUGUUGUGACCCAGGCCGUGCAGUCACCAGAGGUGGGAUCCGGGCUCAGCUCGGCCGCGUCUGAACUUCUUGUCAUCUGGGAAACGGGGGGCAGAGAGACAUCCCAGGUUGAAAGCAAAACCUUCUUGCUGCAAGCCGUGUCAUGAAGAGAUGGGGUUUAGCGGUGCUGCCCAAGCUGGUCUUGAACUCCUGAGCUCAAGCAAUCCACCUGCCUCGGCCUCCCAAACUGCUGAGAUUACAAGCAUGAGCUACCGUGCCUAGGCGCCGCUAUCUUCUGAAAGAGCAGAAUGCAUUGUUUCCUCUCUAGGGUUUGCAGGUUUGAAAAGAUGGGGUUUUGCAUCAUGCACCUAACACUCUUCUUCCCAGAAGCUCUCUGCAGAACAAGGAAGUUUUAAGAAGACUAGGUGCCUUUAGCCUAUUUUCUGGAAUCUCAAACCUGGUAAUCCAUUAUUUAUUCAAUAAAUAUUGA
Molecule: long non-coding RNA, 600 nt
Organism: Piliocolobus tephrosceles (Ugandan red Colobus)
Lineage: Eukaryota; Metazoa; Chordata; Mammalia; Primates; Cercopithecidae
Exons: 3
Source: RefSeq, a predicted model, not a curated record